GAUUAUGGCUCAGAACGAACGCUGGCGGCGUGCUUAACACAUGCAAGUCGAACGCGAAAGGGACUUCGGUCCUGAGUAAAGUGGCGCACGGGUGAGUAACGCGUAGAUAACCUGUCUUUAUGUCUGGAAUAAUACGACCGAAAGGGGUACUAAUACCGGAUUAUUUUUGCAUUGCAUAAGCAGUGUAAGACAAAGGUGGCCUCUGACAUAAGCUACUGCAAUAAAGGAGGGGUCUGCGUACCAUUAGCUAGUAGGUAGGGGUAAAGGCCUACCUAGGCUACGAUGGUUAGGCGGGUCUGAGAGGAUGAUCCGCCACACUGGCACGUGGAACGACGGGCCAGACCUCCGUACGGGAGGCAGCAGUGAGGAAUAUUGCGCAAUGGGGCAACCCUGACGCAGCGACGCCGCGUGAAGUGAGGAAGGCCUUCGGGUCGUAAAGCUCUGUCAAAGGGAAAGAAGUGCAUGGUGGUUAAUACCUGCCAUGUUUGACGGUACCCUUAAAGGAAGCACCGGCUAACUCCGUGCCAGCCGCCGC
RNAcentral lists this ribosomal RNA (535 nucleotides) under uncultured bacterium. RNAcentral's name for it is "bacterial SSU rRNA". It matches the Rfam family "Bacterial small subunit ribosomal RNA", at positions 15 to 518 of the family's 1533-position model. The record is from RNAcentral.